CCUACGGGUGGCUGCAGUAAGGAAUAUUGGGCAAUGGAGGCAACUCUGACCCAGCCAUGCCGCGUGAAGGAUGACGGCCCUAUGGGUUGUAAACUUCUUUUAUACGGGAAUAAACCCGGGUACGUGUACCCGGCUGAAUGUACCGUAAGAAUAAGGAUCGGCUAACUCCGUGCCAGCAGCCGCGGUAAUACGGAGGAUCCAGGCGUCAUCCGGAUUCAUGGGGGCGAAAGGGGGCUUAGACGGCUGCGGUGAAAUCCUACAGCUUAACUGUAGAACUGCCGUUGAUACUGCAAGUCUUGAGUACAUUUGAUGUGGGCGGAAUGUGUCAUGUAGCGGUGAAAUGCUUAGAUAUGACACGGAACACCGAUUGCGAAGGCAGCUCACAAAACUGUAACUGACGCUGAGGCACGACAGCGUGGGGAUCAAACAGGAUUAGAUACCCGAGUAGUC
This 450-nucleotide ribosomal RNA is filed under the name uncultured bacterium. Its description in RNAcentral is "partial 16S ribosomal RNA". It matches the Rfam family "Bacterial small subunit ribosomal RNA", at positions 338 to 795 of the family's 1533-position model. The record is from RNAcentral.